AACGAACGCUGGCGGCAGGCCUAACACAUGCCAGUCGAGCGAGAUCUUCGGGUCUAGCGGCGGACGGGUGAGUAACGCGUGGGAAUAUGCCUCUUGGUACGGAAUAGCCUCGGGAAACUGGGAGUAAUACCGUAUGUGCCCUUUGGGGGAAAGAUUUAUCGCCAAGAGAUUAGCCCGCGUUGGAUUAGGUAGUUGGUGGGGUAAUGGCCUACCAAGCCGACGAUCCAUAGCUGGUUUGAGAGGAUGAUCAGCCACACUGGGACUGAGACACGGCCCAGACUCCUACGGGAGGCAGCAGUGGGGAAUCUUAGACAAUGGGGGCAACCCUGAUCGAGCCAUGCCGCGUGAGUGAUGAAGGCCUUAGGGUUGUAAAGCUCUUUCAGCUGGGAAGAUAAUGACGGUACCAGCAGAAGAAGCCCCGGCUAACUCCGUG
This 433-nucleotide ribosomal RNA is filed under the name uncultured bacterium. RNAcentral describes it as "partial 16S ribosomal RNA". It matches the Rfam family "Bacterial small subunit ribosomal RNA", at positions 29 to 507 of the family's 1533-position model. The record is from RNAcentral.